UACAGAGGUCUCAAGCGUUGUUCGGAUUCAUUGGGCGUAAAGGGUGCGUAGGUGGCGCCGUAAGUCGGGUGUGAAAUUUCGGAGCUUAACUCCGAAACUGCAUUCGAUACUGCGGUGCUUGAGGACUGGAGAGGAGACUGGAAUUCAUGGUGUAGCAGCGAAAUGCGUAGAGAUCAUGAGGAAGACCAGUGGCGAAGGCGGGUCUCUGGACAGUUCCUGACACUGAGGCACGAAGGCCAGGGGAGCAAACGGG
This 253-nucleotide ribosomal RNA is filed under the name uncultured bacterium. Its description in RNAcentral is "partial 16S ribosomal RNA". It matches the Rfam family "Bacterial small subunit ribosomal RNA", at positions 524 to 776 of the family's 1533-position model. The record is from RNAcentral.